RNAcentral lists this ribosomal RNA (1372 nucleotides) under uncultured bacterium. RNAcentral's name for it is "bacterial SSU rRNA". It matches the Rfam family "Bacterial small subunit ribosomal RNA", at positions 28 to 1381 of the family's 1533-position model. The record is from RNAcentral.
GAUGAACGCUGGCGGCGUGCCUAAUACAUGCAAGUCGAGCGAACGGACGAGAAGCUUGCUUCUCUGAUGUUAGCGGCGGACGGGUGAGUAACACGUGGAUAACCUACCUAUAAGACUGGGAUAACUUCGGGAAACCGGAGCUAAUACCGGAUAAUAUUUUGAACCGCAUGGUUCAAAAGUGAAAGACGGUCUUGCUGUCACUUAUAGAUGGAUCCGCGCUGCAUUAGCUAGUUGGUAAGGUAACGGCUUACCAAGGCAACGAUGCAUAGCCGACCUGAGAGGGUGAUCGGCCACACUGGAACUGAGACACGGUCCAGACUCCUACGGGAGGCAGCAGUAGGGAAUCUUCCGCAAUGGGCGAAAGCCUGACGGAGCAACGCCGCGUGAGUGAUGAAGGUCUUCGGAUCGUAAAACUCUGUUAUUAGGGAAGAACAUAUGUGUAAGUAACUGUGCACAUCUUGACGGUACCUAAUCAGAAAGCCACGGCUAACUACGUGCCAGCAGCCGCGGUAAUACGUAGGUGGCAAGCGUUAUCCGGAAUUAUUGGGCGUAAAGCGCGCGUAGGCGGUUUUUUAAGUCUGAUGUGAAAGCCCACGGCUCAACCGUGGAGGGUCAUUGGAAACUGGAAAACUUGAGUGCAGAAGAGGAAAGUGGAAUUCCAUGUGUAGCGGUGAAAUGCGCAGAGAUAUGGAGGAACACCAGUGGCGAAGGCGACUUUCUGGUCUGUAACUGACGCUGAUGUGCGAAAGCGUGGGGAUCAAACAGGAUUAGAUACCCUGGUAGUCCACGCCGUAAACGAUGAGUGCUAAGUGUUAGGGGGUUUCCGCCCCUUAGUGCUGCAGCUACCGCAUUAAGCACUCCGCCUGGGGAGUACGACCGCAAGGUUGAAACUCAAAGGAAUUGACGGGGACCCGCACAAGCGGUGGAGCAUGUGGUUUAAUUCGAAGCAACGCGAAGAACCUUACCAAAUCUUGACAUCCUUUGACAACUCUAGAGAUAGAGCUUUCCCCUUCGGGGGACAAAGUGACAGGUGGUGCAUGGUUGUCGUCAGCUCGUGUCGUGAGAUGUUGGGUUAAGUCCCGCAACGAGCGCAACCCUUAAGCUUAGUUGCCAUCAUUAAGUUGGGCACUCUAAGUUGACUGCCGGUGACAAACCGGAGGAAGGUGGGGAUGACGUCAAAUCAUCAUGCCCCUUAUGAUUUGGGCUACACACGUGCUACAAUGGACAAUACAAAGGGCAGCGAAACCGCGAGGUCAAGCAAAUCCCAUAAAGUUGUUCUCAGUUCGGAUUGUAGUCUGCAACUCGACUACAUGAAGCUGGAAUCGCUAGUAAUCGUAGAUCAGCAUGCUACGGUGAAUACGUUCCCGGGUCU